CCACUGGGCAGCUUGCCUUUUGGUCUCUCUCUGUUGUCUCGUUUCCCUGCACGCACUUGGCGACUGCGUGCGUGUGUGUGUGUGUGCGUGCUCGUUUUGCUGCUUGCGUUUUCUGUCUGCCGAGUCGUCAUCACUGAAAGCGUCGAGAAUCCUGCGGCUUAGCCCUUGCGCCAACCCCCUUCCCCUCCUGAUCGCGCCAGCCUAGGCGUGCGUGUUGCUCCUUUCGCCUCGGGCAUCGUAUUGCCACUACCGCGGCUUUGGUGACACUUCGCCUUUAUCAACCUGCACGUUACAGCCUUCCCUAUUCUCUACCCGCUUCUCGUGGUUCUCCUUCUAUCUGGGGUCGCGGAACUGGUUGUGAAGGACAUGCUUCUUGCGCCGUGUGCAUCCGUACCCCACACGAACACACGAGGCCUGGUGGUCAGCGAUGUCGAGCAAGGAAGAGUUGGCUGCCUUGAUGGCGUCCGACGGUGACUUCGAGAAGAAGAUCUCGUUGCUCAAGAAGGCGGUUGUCACGGUCACGAAGCAGAAGAAAGAGGUUGAGGCCCGUCAAACCCAGCUGCAGGGAGAGCUGAGCAGCGCGACCCAGCAGCUGGCAGAGGCGCAGCGGGUGAACGCCGCCCUACAGCGCAAAGUGAAGUCUCUUGAAGCGCAGCUAGAACAAGAGCGCAGCAGUGGGUCAGCGUUCGGCCAGAACAUGUUGAAGGGCUUGUCCUCAAUCAUGGGCAACAGUGACAGCACCAACCGUAGUGGCGCUCGCGGUGAACGCGGUUCAGCUAGUGACCAGCUGUCUUUGUCCCCGGCGGAUGUAGAGCGACUCAUCAGCGAGAAUGAGCAGUUGCACCGGCAGAUAUACACCUUCAAGACGAAACUCGAAGACGCGCAACACUCCAGCGCGAAGGAUGCGGAGAAGCUGAAGAGCGAUGUUGCACGUCUGCAACGCGAAACGCAGGAGCUGCGCCGUUCCCUUGAGGUAAACACCGCCACCGGCGACCGUCUUCGCGCCGACUACCUCACUGAGCGGGCUUUGGGCGACUUCUGCCGACACUUCUUUGUGGCCACGCUGCUCCGACCGCAGCAGGAACGGGAAUCGUUCCUUGCAGGUACCACGGUAGAGGUGCGGUGGCCUGCCAAAGGGCCGUCGUCGAAUUCGGCGGCGGCCGCCUUUUCGGACUCUCUGCCGGCAGUGGUGCGCGAGAGUGCUGCCCUCGCCCUGCGGAGUGCCGCCGGUACCGUCAAGACGCUUCUGCGCGGCGUCUCGGUGCUUGCAGUGGUGCUGCAGGAACAGCUGCCGUCGCGGGAGCGGGCAACCGUGAGGGACUUGGAGUGCCUGCGUGAUCGGCUCUCCGUAUUUCUGGAGGCGCACACGGCGAAGAAAGACAGUCUCAUGUAUCUCCUUGAGCAGCUGGACACUCAGCUGUCAGCGCUGCAGCACGCCGAUGAGGAAGGCUGCUCCGCCCCUGCCUCGGUUGAUGCCUUUGUUGAGGCUCAGGGCAAUAUUGUGCAGCUCGUGCUGGAGUGGGUCGGUCUUCUUCGAACACAGCUCCCGCUCUUCGUAGAGAGCUGUGUCGCAAUCCUGCCGCAUGGGCACUCCUACACUAUGUACACCGCACACGUCAGCGCCGGCACCGGCGAUGGCGCUGCUGCGCCACGAAAGACGACGUCCAAGCGCGGCGAAUUCGUCGAGGAAGUCACAAGACACGGCUAUGCCACUCUGGCGUCCAUUGAAGGGUCGCUUACGGCGAUGCGCAUGCUCAUCCAGCGCUCACCCACCGCGUACUACCGCUGCUACAAUAAUGGAAACCUAGGAGGCGGACCACCAGAACCGCCCACCACGAAGGAAACGCUCAACUUCACCCCCUUGUUGGAUGCCACGCAGCCGCCUAUGGAUCUUUCCUCGCUGCUGGCGCUGCAGCAGUUCUGGUGGGAGGGCUGCACGUCGGUACGUUCUUUGCGCGCGUCGAUUCGGGCGCUCAACAGCGGCUUAGUUGAUGUGGCGGAGGCCUGCAACAAGAGCGAGAUCCGCGACGCUCUGAACUACCUUUGCAAGUGCCUGGAGGCUAUAGCGGCAGCUUCGGAGGAGAUGAACGGCUCAUCGCGAUUGGUGCCAGCCGAUGCGGAUGCGGCCAUCGCCGCGCUGGCGCCUUAUGCCUUUGCUUCUCGAACGCCUGCCCACGCAUCAUCGAGUGAAGCGUCGUCGUGGGCGUUUCGUCCCAGAACUGCUAUCGCCACGUCGCCAACACUAACGGCGGAGGGCGUGCGCGACGCCGCCUACGCUGACAAAUACGAAGAGCUUCUUGUGGCGCUAUCGGCUGCCGAUCGUGCAGCAGCUAGCUAUUACACCCAAAUGAACUACUUGUACGUGGAAAUGGCCGAAAAAGAAGAUGCUCUGCAGACAGCGCUGGAGGCCGUCGCGCAUCUGCAGCAACUCAUCAUCGCAGAACGCGCGGAGGCGAAGCACACGCGCCAAGCCCUACAGAGCCAAAUCAGCCUACUGUCGACGCAGCUGGUCGAAAUGGCUGGUGCACCGGCCGCACAGUCACCGCAGUAGUGGGACGGCUCUCGGCAUUCGCCAUCCCAUAAAAAAGUUACUCAGCCAUCUUCUUCCUUUUUUGCUUUGCUGACAUGAGGACACGGCGCACACUUCUGCUCCUUGUCUUUUCCCUUUUCGCUUUCCGUCGUUUGAUUGCCUCCCCAACGGUAAACAUCAGGCACACCUAUAGCGAGGGAUUGGAGAAAUGCUCGCCACCGUCUCACCCCCUCCUGCCCCUCCCCACGCUUCCCGUGCUCUUGGCCUCACUGCUCCGCUCUCUCGGCUUGUCUCCCGGCUUUAAACGAAUGAGUGAGGAACCCUCCCCCCUUGCCCUUGGGCUCUGCGAUCCCCCUCCCUCUCUCUGUCACCGACCAUUGAAG
Molecule: unclassified non-coding RNA, 2913 nt
Filed under: Leishmania donovani
Lineage: Eukaryota; Euglenozoa; Kinetoplastea; Trypanosomatida; Trypanosomatidae
Description: gene:LdHU3.29.3490(CDS-product:hypothetical_prote in_conserved)
Source: RNAcentral